Molecule: unclassified non-coding RNA, 1486 nt
Filed under: Hevea brasiliensis (rubber tree)
Lineage: Eukaryota; Viridiplantae; Streptophyta; Magnoliopsida; Malpighiales; Euphorbiaceae
Source: RNAcentral
CGGUAUUACAAAGUUACUGCAGAUGCAUUAAGAGUUUGUGGUGAGCUUGUACGGGUGUUGCGGCCAAAGAUUGAGGGUUCAACCUUUGAUUUCAAACCCUAUGUUCUUCCAAUAUAUAAUGCCAUCAUGGUGCGUUUGACAAACCAAGAUCAGGAUCAGGAGGUUAAGGAGUCUGCAAUUACUUGCAUGGGGCUCGUAGUUUCAACAUUUGGUGAUCACCUGCAUGCUGAAUUACCUGCAUGUCUUCCAGUUCUGGUGGAUCGAAUGGGCAAUGAAAUAACUAGAUUGACAGCUGUCAAGGCUUUUGCUGUCAUAGCUGCUUCUCCAUUGCACCUAGACCUCUCAUGUGUCAUCGAGCAAGUGAUUUCUGAGUUAACUGCAUUCUUACGCAAGGCCAAUCGAGCUCUCAGACAAGCUACUCUAGGGACCUUGAACACCCUCAUUGUUGCUUAUGGUGAUAAAAUUGGAUCUGCUGCGUAUGAAGUUAUUGUUAUGGAACUUUCUACGCUAAUUAGUGACUCAGACUUGCACAUGACAGCCCUUGCGCUGGAGCUUUGUUGUACAUUAAUGGCUGACAGAAGGUCAAGUGCUAAUGUGGGUUUGACUGUAAGAAGCAAAGUUCUUCCUCAAGCCUUGACACUAGUGAGAAGUUCACUGCUUCAGGGGCAAGCCCUUCUGGCCCUUCAAAACUUUUUUGCUGCAUUGGUUUACUCUGCCAAUACAAGCUUCGAUACUCUGCUAGAUUCUCUACUUUCAACAGCGAAACCAUCUCCUCAGUCUGGUGGUGUUACCAAACAAGCUCUCUUUUCCAUCGGUCAAUGUGUGGCAGUUCUUUGUCUUGCCGCUGGUGAUCGGAAGUGUUCUUCUACUGUAAACAUGUUAACAGACAGCCUGAAAGAUGAUAGUAGUACUAAUUCGGCCAAGCAACAUCUUGCCUUGCUAUGUUUAGGGGAAAUUGGAAGGAGAAAGGACUUAAGUCCACAUGCCCAUAUCGAAAAUAUUGUCAUCGAGUCCUUCCAAUCACCUUUUGAAGAGAUAAAGUCAGCUGCCUCUUAUGCUCUAGGAAACAUUGCUGUGGGUAAUCUACCAAAGUAUUUACCCUUUAUCUUAGACAAAAUAGACAAUCAGCAGAAGAAGCAGUACCUACUGCUCCAUUCUUUGAAAGAGGUCAUAGUGAGACAGUCUGUGGAUAAUGCUGAAUUCCAGGAUUCAAGUGUAGAUAAAAUACUUAAUUUGCUCUUUAAUCAUUGUGAAAGUGAUGAAGAGGGCGUUAGGAAUGUUGUAGCUGAGUGCCUGGGAAAAAUUGCACUUAUUGAACCUGGCAAGCUUGUUCCUGCAUUGAAGGAUCGGAUUAGUAAUCCAGCAGCGUUCACCAGAGCGACUGUUGUAAUUGCUGUGAAAUAUUCCAUAGUUGAGCGACCCGAGAAGAUAGAUGAAAUCUUGUCUCGUGAAAUUUCAUCCUUCUUAGUGCUUAUAAAGGAUAAAG